Molecule: ribosomal RNA, 370 nt
Filed under: uncultured bacterium
Lineage: Bacteria
Description: bacterial SSU rRNA
Rfam family: Bacterial small subunit ribosomal RNA
Source: RNAcentral
CACGCUGUAAACGAUGUGCACUAGGCGUGGGGCACGUCGGUGCUCUGUGCCGUAGCUAACGCGAUAAGUGCACCGCCUGGGGAGUAUGCUCGCAAGGGUGAAACUCAAAGGAAUUGACGGGGGCCCGCACAAGCGGUGGAGCAUGUGGUUUAAUUCGAUGGUACACGAGGAACCUUACCAGGGCUUGACAUGUGCAUGACAGUCCGUGAGAACGGGCGUCCCCGCAAGGGGCGUGCACACAGGUGCUGCAUGGCUGUCGUCAGCUCGUGUCGUGAGAUGUUGGGUUAAGUCCCGCAACGAGCGCAACCCUUACCGUCUGUUGCCAACGGGUGAUGCCGGGGACUCGGACGGAACUGCCGGUGACAAACCG